CGGAGCUGAUGGAAGAAUCCAGGAUGCUGUUUCUCCCAGUGAAGCUGAACUAAAACAUUUGCUAGUACAGGCUGAUUCUCAGAUCACCCUGCUUCACUUAUUGAUCUCUUUGAUUCAGUGCAUUACAGCCCAAAAACUUCUCCCUCCCCCUCUCCCUUUAAUCAGCGUAGAUCAUGUUUCAGCAGGGCUUUAAUGGACUCUUGAGGAUAGUCAUAGAGUGCUUUACCCUUAUGACUUGGUGGCUGUGUAAUCAGUCCACUGGCUUAAAAUCCAUCUGAUUUUCUGGAAUUCUUCUGAAGAGAACUGAAAGGAGGCCGACAGUGACAGAAUUGCACUGCAGGAGCAGGACUCAGGGUAAAGGGCCUGUCAUUCACCAACGUUGUCAUCAUGUCCAUCAAAAUACGCAAACAUCCAGAUGGCUGCUUGCCUCCUGCUUGCCAUGCUCUGGAAUAUUUUCUGCUGUUUCAAAGCACCCUGUGAAGGAGAACAUCAGGACCGUGUUUUAGCCCAGCUGCACCCAAAGAACCUCCCACCUUCAUGGGCCAAACAAGAUUCUGCUGCCCCUGAGUUUGGCUCGGCCCUUUACAGCAGGCUGAUUACUGCCUUCUUGGUCCACAUUUGAAAAUUCCCUAAGGAGCCAGCAGUGUUCCCACCUACACAGAAGAGACUGCGAAGAUGUGGAUGCACUUCAUCCAUCUAUACACAUGUUAAUGCAAGUUGUACUUAGUUCAAUCUAUCCCACCAUUUGCUCCCAUAUAAAAGAGGCUUUAUGCUUUUGUUUGAGACAAGUAUUUGAUUUAGAGUGUGAGUUACUGAGUGAAAACAUCAUAGCCUACACUGCAGGAGAAGAGGAUAAUAGAUCUAUCUAAUUCUCUCUUUUCACCUUACAUUUGCUAGAUCCUGCACAUCUGGUUACAUCUAUGUGGGAUAAAGGAGAGAGACUUCAUGUAGCUCACCUAGCAAAAAAUGCUCAGUAGCUUUUGCUCUGAUAAAAACACCAUUACAUUAUAUGUCGUCUUGGUUUGGAAAGACAGGUGUCUGCUAAGGAAGGCAGGACUCUCCCCUGAAAUGGAAAAAUGUAAACCCCCCUCCCUCUGAAUUGCUAUAAAUUUUAAAUAAGGGGCUCUCAGGCAAAAAUAUGGGAGCAGGAAUAACAGUUCUUUAUUAGGGAAGAAAAUAAAAAGAUAAAAUAAACAAUGCA
RNAcentral lists this long non-coding RNA (1201 nucleotides) under Zonotrichia albicollis (white-throated sparrow). RNAcentral describes it as "lncRNA (ENSZALG00000003389.1)". Lineage: Eukaryota; Metazoa; Chordata; Aves; Passeriformes; Passerellidae. The record is from RNAcentral.